CGCGUAGGCGGGAUAUUAAGUCUCAUUUAAAAGUGCGGGGCUCAACCCCGUGAUGGGUGAGAAACUAAUAUUCUUGAGUGCCGGAGAGGAAAGCGGAAUUCCCAGUGUAGCGGUGAAAUGCGUAGAUAUUGGGAGGAACACCAGUGGCGAAGGCGGCUUUCUGGACGGUGUCUGACGCUGAGGCGUGAAAGCCAGGGGAGCGAACGGGAUUAGAUACCCCGGUAGUCCUGGCCGUAAACGAUGGGUACUAGGUGUAGGGGGUAUCGACCCCUCCUGUGCCGGAGUUAACGCAAUAAGUACCCCGCCUGGGGAGUACGGCCGCAAGGUUGAA
This 331-nucleotide ribosomal RNA is filed under the name uncultured bacterium. Its description in RNAcentral is "bacterial SSU rRNA". It matches the Rfam family "Bacterial small subunit ribosomal RNA", at positions 568 to 898 of the family's 1533-position model. The record is from RNAcentral.